CAAUACAACUCUUUCCGCCAGAGAACUACAAGUGAAAAACUUGAAACUCAAAGGACUUGACGGUGUCCCAUAUCGGCCUAGAGGAGCCUGUCCUAUAAUCGAUACCCCCCGUUCCACCCAACCCCAACUAGCAAACAUACCAGCCUAUAUACCGCCGUCGACAGUUUACCCUAUGAAGGUCUAAUAGUAGACACAACAGCCUCUAACGCUAAUACGUCAGGUCAAGGUGUAGCAAAUGUUGUGGAAGAGA
Molecule: ribosomal RNA, 250 nt
Filed under: Podarcis hispanicus (Iberian wall lizard)
Lineage: Eukaryota; Metazoa; Chordata; Lepidosauria; Squamata; Lacertidae
Description: partial 12S ribosomal RNA
Rfam family: Bacterial small subunit ribosomal RNA
Source: RNAcentral